AUGAGAACAUUGUCUUGGUGCCUCCUGUCAGGGGUUUUGUGGCAGUGUCCCGGGGAGUUGAGCUCCGAGGUGUUGUCGUCACAAUUUUAUCGUUGCAGUUCUGGAAUACCUGAGUUUAGUUUCGCCGACAUCGAAAAUCUCUUUUAUGCAGUUGUUGGUGAGAUAACCUCGACACCACCUAGUACUGGGGCGGGAGUUCGGGAGUAUUGCCAUAACUCAUAUAACGGAUGCUUUUCGAAGGUUGAGGUAGAUGAUUUCCGAAGGUUUCUUGGUUAUGUGUUGAAGGAUGGAUACAGCUGGAUGUAG
Molecule: ribosomal RNA, 306 nt
Filed under: Triticum aestivum (bread wheat)
Lineage: Eukaryota; Viridiplantae; Streptophyta; Magnoliopsida; Poales; Poaceae
Description: partial small subunit ribosomal RNA
Source: RNAcentral